UUUGUUUCUGUGGAACCAGGUUCUGUUCGGUUCACUCUGAAGGUAGAAUGCUCAGACAACCGCCCACCCUUAGAGGUAGUGGGGCUGGAAAAGGGGAAACUGUGACUUCCUCAUCCCCAAAGAGGCAGAGGAACUGGGAGCCAUCAUACCUUCAAGAGGGCAUGGUCCCCGGCUGGGCCAUUCUGGAGGCUCUCAGGAAGCUGGGACUUAUGAAGAUGGCUUUCUGCCCACCUCUCACCCAAACCUGAGCCGUGCUAACCUGCCGUCCCCGAAAAGCCUUCAAGGCCAAGGUCAAAGUACUUCCAACUCUAGAGGAGUUUGCUUCUAACCUCUAACCGCAACACCCAAGUCUGAGUCAGGGGAUAGUUGGUGCUUUCUGUCAUGGGCAUCCUGGGUGCAGUCCCUGCGUCCUCCUCCUUGUUCCCACAGGUCAUAGCACAGGGAAGAUGCUAAAUAUGUGGCAUUCUUUGGGUCCGAAUCACCGCAGCUGGACAAGAGAACAGGUCCUGCUACAGAAUUUAUGGUCCUGAAUUCCGACUUAGGAGUUGAGGACUCCACACCUGAGCCCAGGGGCUCUGCUGCGGUCCUAGUCCGGGAGGCGGAAAGAGGAGUGGCAGAAGAUUCAGGUUUCCUCCUGUGCUGGUUAGCUGGAAUUGCCCACUUGUCACCUCACAACUCUCAUCAACUAGAAUCACCUCAAGAAAGAGUCUCUACAAGGAACGGCCUACAUGGGACUGGCUGUGAGCAUGUGUAUUGUCUGAAUUAAGUUCAUUGAUAUGGAAAGACCCUGCCUAGCAUAGGCAGCACCAUUCCCUAGGCAAGGAUGCCUGAGCUGUUCAAGAGUAGAGAAAAGGAGAGCAAGCAAGCAAGCAUGCGCGCAAGUAUGCAUGCACUUUCUCUCUGCUCUUGACUGUAAACACGGCGUGUACAGUUGUCUCUAGCUCCUGCAGCUGUGACUCCCUACAGUGAUGGACCUGGACUUGUCACCUAAA
Molecule: non-coding RNA, 992 nt
Organism: Myodes glareolus (Bank vole)
Lineage: Eukaryota; Metazoa; Chordata; Mammalia; Rodentia; Cricetidae
Source: RefSeq, a predicted model, not a curated record